This 160-nucleotide small nuclear RNA is filed under the name Heterocephalus glaber (naked mole-rat). Its description in RNAcentral is "U2 spliceosomal RNA (ENSHGLG00100035485.1)". It matches the Rfam family "U2 spliceosomal RNA". Rfam says of the family: U2 is a small nuclear RNA (snRNA) component of the spliceosome (involved in pre-mRNA splicing). Complementary binding between U2 snRNA (in an area lying towards the 5' end but 3' to hairpin I) and the branchpoint sequence (BPS) of the intron results the bulging out of an unpaired adenosine, on the BPS, which initiates a nucleophilic attack at the intronic 5' splice site, thus starting the first of two transesterification reactions that mediate splicing. Lineage: Eukaryota; Metazoa; Chordata; Mammalia; Rodentia; Bathyergidae. The record is from RNAcentral.
AUCGCUUCUCAGCCUUUUGGCUAAGAACAAGUGUAGAAGUUGCCAGGGGCAGAUGGUUUCAAAAGUAACAUUACCUAGGAUUUCUCCUAAGCUAAAGGAGGUGAGGAGAAAGGAGUACCUCCCUCUUGAUUGCAUUUCCCAAGAGCUCAGUUUAAUCAGC